This is a long non-coding RNA of Cottoperca gobio, 1631 nucleotides long. RefSeq lists it as uncharacterized. The transcript has 2 exons. The record is from RefSeq and is a predicted model, not a curated record. NCBI's taxonomy places the organism in Eukaryota, Metazoa, Chordata, Actinopteri, Perciformes, Bovichtidae.
UGCAGCAGCAGCUCGCCUCCUCUCCUCCCCUCGGGCCUCCUGACAGCACUGCCUCCGUCUGAAGCUGCGACUCAUAUUCAUCCUCGCCCGGUGGAGACUACCUACUUGUUUCAGCACACAGGUCGCCAUGCAUUGUUUUUUUUGUUUUUUUUAUAGCAGGAGCAGCUUACCGUCUGCCAGUCUCCUUCUCUCCACCUGUACCGGGAGGGGCAGUCAGCCACCCGGCAGCUCUGGCUGGACGCUGGUCUGGAGCGCCGGGAGCAGCCGGUCUCCUGCGGGCUUCGUCGGUCUCCGGCCUGGCAGAACACCUCCCGCCGCUGGAUGCCGUCGCCACACGAUGCUGAACACUGAAAAAAUGUGAAGAAAUGUUGGAGCCUGGAAAGUGGAUGGGUUUGUGAAGCUGUGUUUUCAGAAAUCCUUUAUUAUUAGACCCACAACGGACUACAACAACAAUGUUGAUGAUUAUGAACAACCUGCACUACACUGAUGUUAAUGGAUGGCAUAAUAUAUACAUAGACUUUAUUAUUAUACUGCAUGAGAGUUUGUAAACGUAUGUUUUUUAUAUAGUUUUGCUGUUGUUUAAACGUGGCCCCCAUUUACUUCAAUUCAUAAAGACUUUGGAUUCUUCAUUCACCGUGGAGGUAUGCGAGAAUUCAAGAAUUCAAGGUAACACAUAAUUGAUAUACAAAUGAUUAUUUUUGGGGUGAACUAUUCCUUUAAGGGUGCAUGAAGUGAUAAACACAUAUGCAGAUGAGCAAGCUGAGGUUCCAGAGUUUCAAAAUGAAUCUAUACAAAUAGACAUUCAUAUGUGACACAACUUUACAUAUUCCACUGUGUGUUAUCUGCCAUGCCGUUUCAGCAGUUGAACCAUCUUGCAGCCUGCUGCAUGAUGGGUAAACAUGCUGUACUUGACUGAGUGUGUUUGAAUACUCAUACUGACGUACUGCUUGCUGCAUCAACCAGUAUGUACUGCAUACUGCAUAAUCAAUUGACAAUUAAGUAUGCCAAUACCAGCAGCAUAUAUACAGUAUGUGUACAACCCAGUUCCCCCAAGAACCAUCUGCCUUGUAAUCCAUCGUACAGUCUAAAGGGACGCGAUGCACUUUUGGACGGUUGAGCAUGUCCAGUAAGCUCAUGUCCAUUACACAGAAAUUCUUGCUUGUCUAGUAUACAUCUGGGCAUUUCUCGUGUACACAAAAUCUACAUACUAUGCCGUUGGAACACACUACAUUCUCAAGUUUACAUCAUACUUAGUAUGAAUAGUAUGUAAGUAUGCAAUUUCGAACAGAGUCUAAGAGCCUCGUGUGGAGUAUCAUUUUCUCCUGGCAUGUGUCCCGCUCCACAGCUGUUUCAGAGCAAACGCACAUCCUCUCUGACAUGUGGAGCACAGAUGUGGCUCUGUGCUCGGACUCUUGGCCAUUGGGGUGAUUUCAGAAAAGAGGACAGUGGAAAAGAUGGAGAUAAAAAAAACGAGACAUGGAGAGUGAAGGGAGGGGAAGAAAAAGCGAACAGGCACCAGACGGUCUCUGCAGCAGCCCAGGUGCACGUUGUGAGUGUGUGGCAUGUUUAGUAGGGUAUUCAAAGAAAAGACUCACAUGUGGUUCCCAUUGGGGAGGCAGAAGAUGGAGAGG